This 403-nucleotide ribosomal RNA is filed under the name Fusobacteriota bacterium. RNAcentral's name for it is "Fusobacteria bacterium partial 16S ribosomal RNA". It matches the Rfam family "Bacterial small subunit ribosomal RNA", at positions 355 to 776 of the family's 1533-position model. Lineage: Bacteria; Fusobacteriati; Fusobacteriota. The record is from RNAcentral.
UGGGGAAUAUUGCACAAUGGAGGGAACUCUGAUGCAGCGACGCCGCGUGAACGAAGAAGGCUUUCGAGUCGUAAAGUUCUUUUAUAUGGGAAGAUAAUGACGGUACCAUAAGAAAAAGCCCCGGCUAACUACGUGCCAGCAGCCGCGGUAAUACGUAGGGGGCUAGCGUUGUCCGGAAUCACUGGGCGUAAAGGGUUCGCAGGCGGAAAUGCAAGUCAGAUGUAAAAGGCAGUAGCUUAACUACUGUAAGCAUUUGAAACUGCAUAUCUUGAGAGGAGUAGAGGUAAGUGGAAUUUUUAGUGUAGCGGUGAAAUGCGUAGAUAUUAAAAAGAAUACCGGUGGCGAAGGCGACUUACUGGGCUCAUUCUGACGCUGAGGAACGAAAGCGUGGGUAGCAAACAGG